GACGAACGCUGGCGGCGUGCUUAACACAUGCAAGUCGAACGGAAAGGCCCCAGCUUUCUGGGGUACACGAGUGGCGAACGGGCGAGUAACACGUGGGUGACCUGCCCCUCACUUCGGGAUAACCCUGGGAAACUGGGGCUAAUACCGGAUACGACCUCACGGUGCGGGUGGGGUGGAAGGUUGUUCGGUGUGGGAUGGGUCCGCGGCUUAUCAGCUUGUUGGUUGGGUAGUGGGCUACCAAGGCGGCGACGGGUAGCCGGCCUGAGAGGGUGGACGGCCACAUUGGGACUGAGAUACGGCCCAGACUCCUGCGGGAGGCAGCAGUGGGGAAUAUUGCACAAUGGGCGGAAGCCUGAUGCAGCGACGCCGCGUGCGGGAUGACGGCCUUCGGGUUGUAAACUCCUUUCGCCAUCGACGAAGCUUGUCUGACGGUAGAUGGUGAAGAAGCACCGGCUAACUACGUG
This 464-nucleotide ribosomal RNA is filed under the name uncultured bacterium. RNAcentral describes it as "partial 16S ribosomal RNA". It matches the Rfam family "Bacterial small subunit ribosomal RNA", at positions 28 to 507 of the family's 1533-position model. The record is from RNAcentral.